RNAcentral lists this long non-coding RNA (887 nucleotides) under Chinchilla lanigera (long-tailed chinchilla). Its description in RNAcentral is "lncRNA (ENSCLAG00000024956.1)". Lineage: Eukaryota; Metazoa; Chordata; Mammalia; Rodentia; Chinchillidae. The record is from RNAcentral.
AUGGCCACAGGCUCAGAGCACAGAACAGUGCGGAGGGCUGUUUUCUGUAGUGUCACCAUCGUUGUCAACUGGUCUGUAAGAAGAAAAGCAGUACAGAACAGGCCUCAAGCCCCAACCGAGUCAGGUCAAAGCAGCUGGAAGCCUGUGUCAGCCUCUAGUCCACAAACCAUAGCAGCUCACUGGAGACGGGGCAUCAGAGAGACACCCUACUUCUUUUCCCUUCCUGGAAGCAAGAAGACCAGAGCUGGCUGCUUGGAGCACGUGGCCCGGCGAGCUGUGGAUGCUGUCCAAACAUGCGCCGUGGGACAGUGAAAACUAAUGGGGUGAAUCAGCAGGUAGAACUGGGUCAGAGAGAACCCAGACAGUUGCCCCACAAUCUCACUGUGUGAGCAGGAAGAGAAAAGGGGCCCUCCAUCAACAAAGAAGAGAGCCCUGACCAACACUGAAUCUGCUCCUGCAUUGUGCUUGGACUUCCAGACUCCAGAACUGUGAGUGACAGACACAUUUCUGUUGUAUGAAAGCUACCCAGUCUGUAGUAUUUUGUAAUCGUCAGAAGAACAUACCAAGACUAAGCAGGAUAGAGUCCUGCACAGCACAAGCCCUGCUUCUUUUCCACUUGCUCAUUCAUGGCCCUUCAAUUCCUGUUCUUCAUCCACUGGUGUGAAUUCUGCAGGCCCAAUCUUGAAUAGCUGGGCUAAAACUCCAAUUCCUCAUCUUCAGUGAUUUUCUACAGAUUUUUUCCCCAAGGCAUAUCAACAAGAUUUCAGCAUAAGGGGAAUUCCCAUCCUCUAAUAAAAGAUGCACUGAGAGAUUUAUUUUGGUACUGAAAGGCUGUUCUUGUGACCAGCACAGAAGCUUUGACAAUAAGACUACUCCUCCUUUCUGCC